CCUACGGGAGGCAGCAGUAGGGAAUAUUGCUCAAUGGGGGAAACCCUGAAGCAGCAACGCCGCGUGGAGGAUGAAGGUUUUCGGAUUGUAAACUCCUUUUGUUAGAGAAGACAAUGACGGUAUCUAACGAAUAAUCACCGGCCAACUCCGUGCCAGCAGCCGCGGAAAUACGGGGGGUGCAAGCGUUACCCGGAAUCACUGGGCGUAAGGAGCGCGUAGGCGGGAUAGCAAGUCAGGUGUAAAAUCCUGUGGCUAAACCGUAGAACUACAUUUAAAACUGUUAUUCUGAGGUAUGGAGAGGGUAGGUGAAGUUCUUGGUGUGAGGGUAAAGUCCG
This 335-nucleotide ribosomal RNA is filed under the name uncultured bacterium. Its description in RNAcentral is "partial 16S ribosomal RNA". It matches the Rfam family "Bacterial small subunit ribosomal RNA", at positions 338 to 690 of the family's 1533-position model. The record is from RNAcentral.